GCCAUCGUCCGCGGCGUCCUGCUCAACUUUGGUGUGCACCACGCGACGACCGCGGCGAUCGGUCUGCCCUUCGUGUGGUCCCCGCCCAUCAUGUUCAUCACCACCUUCGUCACCGUGUUCGCCAUCUGCAUCUCCAUCUGCAAGGACCUGGCGGACAUCGAGGGCGACAAGCAGGAGGGCAUCAAGACGUUUGCGACGGAGAUUGGCGCCGCGGGCAUCGCGUACCUUGGCUCCGGUCUCCUCGUCUUCAACUACUGCUUCGCCAUCGGAUCCGCGAUGAUCAGGCAGGAUUGGUUCAACCUGCCGCUCAUGAUCGGUUUCCACUCUCUCGCGAUCCUGUUCUGCAUCUGGAG
This 353-nucleotide long non-coding RNA is filed under the name Micromonas commoda. Its description in RNAcentral is "long non-coding RNA (MCOM_LNC000223)". The record is from RNAcentral. Lineage: Eukaryota; Viridiplantae; Chlorophyta; Mamiellophyceae; Mamiellales; Mamiellaceae.